Molecule: ribosomal RNA, 468 nt
Filed under: uncultured bacterium
Lineage: Bacteria
Description: partial 16S ribosomal RNA
Rfam family: Bacterial small subunit ribosomal RNA
Source: RNAcentral
GACGAACGCUGGCGGCGUGCUUAACACAUGCAAGUCGAACGGAAAGGCCCUGCUUUUGUGGGGUGCUCGAGUGGCGAACGGGUGAGUAACACGUGAGUAACCUGCCCUUGACUUUGGGAUAACUUCAGGAAACUGGGGCUAAUACCGGAUAGGAGCUCCUGCUGCAUGGUGGGGGUUGGAAAGUUUCGGCGGUUGGGGAUGGACUCGCGGCUUAUCAGCUUGUUGGUGGGGUAGUGGCUUACCAAGGCUUUGACGGGUAGCCGGCCUGAGAGGGUGACCGGCCACAUUGGGACUGAGAUACGGCCCAGACUCCUACGGGAGGCAGCAGUGGGGAAUAUUGCACAAUGGGCGGAAGCCUGAUGCAGAAACGCCGCGUGCGGGAUGACGGCCUUCGGGCUGUAAACCGCUUUAGCCUGUGACGAAGCGUGAGUGACGGUAAUGGGUAAAGAAGCACCGGCUAACUACGUG